CCUACGGGAGACAGCAGUGGGGAAUCUUGCACAAUGGGGGAAACCCUGAUGCAGCGACGCCGCGUGAGUGAAGAAGUAUUUCGGUACGUAAAGCUCUAUCAGCAGGGAAGAAAAUGACGGUACGUGACUAAAAAGCCCCGGCUAACUACGUGCCAGCAGCCGCGGUAAUACGUAGGUGGCAAGCGUUGUCCGGAUUGACUGGGUGUAAAGGGCAUGGAGCCGGGAAGGCAAGUCAGAUGUGAAAUCCGGAGGCUCAACCUGGGAAUUGCAUUUGAAACUGUUUGUCUUGAGUACUGGAGAGGCAGGCGGAAUUCCAGGUGUAGCGGUGAAAGGCGUAGAGAUAAGGAGGAAUACCAGUGGCGAAGGCGGCCUGCUGGACAGAAACUGACGGUGAGGUGCGAAAGCGUGGGGAGCAAACAGGAUUAGAUACCCCAGUAGUC
RNAcentral lists this ribosomal RNA (440 nucleotides) under uncultured bacterium. RNAcentral's name for it is "partial 16S ribosomal RNA". It matches the Rfam family "Bacterial small subunit ribosomal RNA", at positions 338 to 795 of the family's 1533-position model. The record is from RNAcentral.